This is a long non-coding RNA of Lycium ferocissimum, 510 nucleotides long. RefSeq lists it as uncharacterized. The transcript is spliced from 4 exons. The record is from RefSeq and is a predicted model, not a curated record. Lineage: Eukaryota; Viridiplantae; Streptophyta; Magnoliopsida; Solanales; Solanaceae.
UGAAGGAUUAAGGUCAUCAUUCUCUACAUAUUCUAUUGCAUCCCUACAGCUUGAACAAAAUCCAAUUAUUUUUUUUCAUUAAUCUGUUUUUGUUCAAAAUAUUUCAGGCAAUGAAUACCCUCUAAGAUGUAAAGAACAUGAAGGUCCGAAUUAUGCUGGGACUCUAUGAGUUUUGAUCUGCCUAUCUAGGGAAAAUAUGCACCAGCUGGUGAAUCGACGACAUCAAUAUUUGUUCUCCAUCCACUAAUUCAUGGAGAUUCUAGGCGGAAGGUUGAAUUCAAGAGGUUAUACACUAUGAUGUUCAGAAAUUUAACACCUGGAGGACUUCAUUUUGAUCAAAACUUGGGGAAAAUGUUGAUGGACUAUCUACGGUCUUGAAUUAAGACAAUUUGAUGACAUUAGUUAGUUGAUUAAAACUGUGUACUUUUUCUGUAAUGUUGGAAUUAUGAAAUAAUGGAUUAGUGGUUGUUUUGUUUAUUGUGGAUUUUAAAUAGUACCUUUUAUAAUGAA